AGUGGGGAAUAUUGCGCAAUGGGGGAAACCCUGACGCAGCAACGCCGCGUGAGCGAUGAAGGCCUUCGGGUCGUAAAGCUCUGUCUAGAGGGAUGAAAAAAAUGACAGUACCUCUAGAGGAAGCCCCGGCUAACUACGUGCCAGCAGCCGCGGUAAUACGUAGGGGGCAAGCGUUGUCCGGAAUUACUGGGCGUAAAGGGCACGCAGGCGGCCUUAUAAGUCAGAUGUGAAAGUCCUAAGCUCAACUUAGGAAUUGCAUUUGAAACUAUAGGGCUUGAGUGCAGGAGAGGAGAGCGGAAUUCCUAGUGUAGCGGUGAAAUGCGUAGAUAUUAGGAAGAACACCAGUGGCGAAGGCGGCUCUCUGGACUGUAACCGACGCUGAGGUGCGAAAGCGUGGGGAGCGAACAGGAUUAGAUACCCUGGUAGUCCACGCCGUAAACGAUGAGUGCUAGGUGUUGGGGGUCGAACCUCAGUGCCGCAGUUAACACAUUAAGCACUCCGCCUGGGGAGUACGACCGCAAGGUUGAAACUCAAAGGAAUUGACGGGGGCCCGCACAAGCAGCGGAGCAUGUGGUUUAAUUCGAAGCAACGCGAAGAACCUUACCAGGACUUGACAUCAUCUGACAACCCAAGAGAUUGGGCUUUCCCUUCGGGGACAGAUAGACAGGUGGUGCAUGGUUGUCGUCAGCUCGUGUCGUGAGAUGUUGGGUUAAGUCCCGCAACGAGCGCAACCCUUAUUUUUAGUUGCCAUCAGGUUAAGCUGGGCACUCUAGAGAGACUGCCAAGAGAAACUUGGAGGAAGGUGGGGAUGACGUCAAAUCAUCAUGCCCCUUAUGUCCUGGGCUACACACGUGCUACAAUGGUCUGUACAAAGGGUAGCGAAACCGCGAGGUGAAGCCAAUCCCAAAAAGCAGAUCCCAGUUCGGAUUGCAGGCUGCAACUCGCCUGCAUGAAGUUGGAGUUGCUAGUAAUCGCGGAUCAGAAUGCCGCGGUGAAUGCGUUCCCGGGCCUUGUACACACCGCCCGUCACACCACAGAGAGUUGGCAACACCCGAAGUCGCUGAGCUAACCGCAAGGGGCAGGCGCCUAAGGUAGGAUCAAUGACUGGGGUG
RNAcentral lists this ribosomal RNA (1112 nucleotides) under uncultured bacterium. RNAcentral describes it as "partial 16S rRNA". It matches the Rfam family "Bacterial small subunit ribosomal RNA", at positions 353 to 1482 of the family's 1533-position model. The record is from RNAcentral.